Molecule: transfer RNA, 77 nt
Filed under: Ruminiclostridium sp.
Lineage: Bacteria; Bacillati; Bacillota; Clostridia; Eubacteriales; Oscillospiraceae
Description: tRNA-Arg
Rfam family: tRNA
About the family: Transfer RNA (tRNA) molecules are approximately 80 nucleotides in length. Their secondary structure includes four short double-helical elements and three loops (D, anti-codon, and T loops).
Source: RNAcentral
GCGCCUGUAGCUCAGCUGGAUAGAGCAUUAGCCUCCGACGCUAAGUGCCGUGCGUUCGAAUCGCAUCAGGCGUACCA